AUUGAACGCUGGCGGCAGGCCUAACACAUGCAAGUCGAGCGGAUGAAGGGAGCUUGCUCCUGGAUUCAGCGGCGGACGGGUGAGUAAUGCCUAGGAAUCUGCCUGGUAGUGGGGGAUAACGUCCGGAAACGGGCGCUAAUACCGCAUACGCCCUGAGGGAGAAAGUGGGGGAUCUUCGGACCUCACGCUAUCAGAUGAGCCUAGGUCGGAUUGGCUAGUUGGUGGGGUAAAGGCCUACCAAGGCGACGAUCCGUAACUGGUCUGAGAGGAUGAUCAGUCACACUAGAGCUGAGACACGGUCCAGACUCCUACGGGAGGCAGCAGUGGGGAAUAUUGGACAAUGGGCGAAAGCCUGAUCCAGCCAUGCCGCGUGUGUGAAGAAGGUCUUCGGAGUGUAAAGCACUUUAAGUUGGGAGGAAGGGCAGUAAGUUAAUACCUUGCUGUUUUGACGGUACCAGCAGAAUAAGCACCGGCUAACUUCGUG
This 484-nucleotide ribosomal RNA is filed under the name uncultured bacterium. Its description in RNAcentral is "partial 16S ribosomal RNA". It matches the Rfam family "Bacterial small subunit ribosomal RNA", at positions 30 to 507 of the family's 1533-position model. The record is from RNAcentral.